RNAcentral lists this long non-coding RNA (1395 nucleotides) under Felis catus (domestic cat). Its description in RNAcentral is "lncRNA (ENSFCAG00000050097.1)". Lineage: Eukaryota; Metazoa; Chordata; Mammalia; Carnivora; Felidae. The record is from RNAcentral.
CACAGGAAACAAAAGUUCCACAGUGUUUCAUAAUCUUAGGACAAACACCAUCUGAGUUACUUACAGUUCCUUGAUGAGGAAUCUUUUCCUACGAGGAUUCACUGGCCAGGCCCAAGUUGGCUAUGUCUCCUCCUGGUUUUGUCGCUUUGCUCAUACGAUUUGUUUGCACUUUUGCCUAUUAUGAGCUUAGCCAUCUCCUGAUUUGGCGAAUUCUCAGCCCUUAGAACCAGUCAGUCUCUACAGAGGAUCCCGUGAGGCUUCCUGAUCUGGCCACUAACUGUUGGCGUUCAACUCCAGCAAUGACAUGCCAGGCUGAAGCUUAAUUCUUUAGAAUAUUUUUUUUGGCUCGCUUAUGGCUCAGCUUCCUCUGUUCAUCAGGGAGAGGUAUCUCUGAGGCUUCUCAGGGAGAUACCACUCCUAUCAUCAACUUUGGGAUUCAGGGUCUGUCCUGGGCCCCAGGAAAGCCCUCUGACCUAUCCCUGAUUCAGGCAAGCGCUCAUGUCUUAGCCCUCAUCGGUGUCUUUUUCUUUCUCUCUGUAGGUCAGUUUGUAUCUGUUAAUAAGAGACUAUGUCUUGUUUGCUCAGUGUCUAAAUAAAGAUUAUUUGGGUAAAAGGAACAGAUAUUCCAACCUCCAUCCCACUCCUUGCUUAAACAGAGGGAUUUAUUAUACAAUGUCAAAGGAAAAUCUCUUGGACAUCCAAGCACAAGACAAAAAGUGCAGCCGGCCUGAAAACACAACUGGAAUAUUGGAACAGAGACUGCCCUCUCCAGUUGCUUUCAAUUACAAAUCAUCCUGGCAUUGGUUCAAAGUGCCCCAACAGCCCCUGGAGCCCUGCGGCUGGGCAGAGCGGCCCACGUGGCUUUUUCGAUCUCCAGGGUGUGACAACGUCGCUGUGGCCUUGGCAGUGAUGGAGGAGGGGCGCUGGGAACACGCUGGAAGACAGGCAUCGUACUGAAAUCAAAUUUACCAGCACACGUAUUCUUGGGUCUUUGUGCAGGUAUGUUGACAGCGCUGAGCUGGCAGUGGGGUGGGGAGCGCUCCCUGACGCCAGGCCCUAUGUGCCAGUCCCACACGAAUCAUUUGGACGUUGGGGGAGGCAGAGAAAAGUAAAUCAUUAUUCCUGAGUUCCAGGCAGUGGGCGAAGCAAACACUAGAGGAAGAUAAUAUGCUACAAUACAGGCUUUGCUCAGAUCUUCCAGAACAUUCCUCAGAGCAGAGAGGUAGGUGUAGUGGCCCAGCUGCGUGGAACUGUUCCUGCAGGGCAGUGGGAGAACCAGGCAGGAGGACUGACCUCCGAGUCCCGGGGAGAAAGCUCAGGAAGUGAUGGGAGUCUGCAGUUUAGCGCCCAGGGGUCGAUGGAAUCUGAUGGAAACAAAGGGUCUGUGGGAAGGGC